This 465-nucleotide ribosomal RNA is filed under the name uncultured bacterium. RNAcentral describes it as "partial 16S ribosomal RNA". It matches the Rfam family "Bacterial small subunit ribosomal RNA", at positions 28 to 507 of the family's 1533-position model. The record is from RNAcentral.
GACGAACGCUGGCGGCGUGCUUAACACAUGCAAGUCGAACGGAAAGGCCCUGCUUGCAGGGUACUCGAGUGGCGAACGGGUGAGUAACACGUGGGUGAUCUGCCCUGCACUUCGGGAUAAGCCUGGGAAACUGGGUCUAAUACCGGAUAGGAGCCAUUCUUAGUGUGAUGGUUGGAAAGUUUUUUCGGUGUAGGAUGAGCUCGCGGCCUAUCAGCUUGUUGGUGGGGUAAUGGCCUACCAAGGCGGCGACGGGUAGCCGGCCUGAGAGGGUGGACGGCCACAUUGGGACUGAGAUACGGCCCAGACUCCUACGGGAGGCAGCAGUGGGGAAGAUUGCACAAUGGGCGCAAGCCUGAUGCAGCGACGCCGCGUGGGGGAUGACGGCCUUCGGGUUGUAAACUCCUUUCGCUAGGGACGAAGCUUUUUGUGACGGUACCUAGAUAAGAAGCACCGGCUAACUACGUG